GAUGAACGCUGACAGAAUGCUUAACACAUGCAAGUCAACUGUGGCGGACGGGUGAGUAACGCGUAAAGAACUUGCCUUACGGAUAGGGACAACAUUUGGAAACGAACGCUAAUACCUGACACUGUGGGAGAGCUUUGCGUCCCAUUAGCUAGUUGGAGUGGUAGCGGCUCACCAAGGCGAUGAUGGGUAGCCGGCCUGAGAGGGUGAUCGGCCACAAGGGGACUGGGACACGGCCCUUACUCCUACGGGGGGAAGCAGUGAAGAAUAUUGGACAAAGGGCCAAAGUCUGAUCCAGCAUUUCUGUGUGCACGAUGAUGUUUUCGGAAUGUAAAGUGCUUUCAGUUGGGAAGCGGUACCAACAGAGAAAGUGACGGCUAAAUACGUGCCAGCAGCCGCGGUAAUAC
RNAcentral lists this ribosomal RNA (404 nucleotides) under uncultured bacterium. RNAcentral's name for it is "partial 16S ribosomal RNA". It matches the Rfam family "Bacterial small subunit ribosomal RNA", at positions 28 to 526 of the family's 1533-position model. The record is from RNAcentral.